This is a non-coding RNA of Potamilus streckersoni, 73 nucleotides long. NCBI's taxonomy places the organism in Eukaryota, Metazoa, Mollusca, Bivalvia, Unionida, Unionidae. The record is from the annotation of a GenBank genome assembly.
GCUCCGGUGGCCUAGUGGUUUGAGUGUCCACCUUGGAUGUGGGAGGUCAUGGGUUCGAUAUCCGGCCGAGUCA